RNAcentral lists this non-coding RNA (29 nucleotides) under Mus musculus (house mouse). The record is from RNAcentral. Lineage: Eukaryota; Metazoa; Chordata; Mammalia; Rodentia; Muridae.
ACCAAACUCAGGUCCUCUGCUAGGGCAGU